UAAGGAAUAUUGGUCAAUGGACGCAAGUCUGAACCAGCCAUGCCGCGUGAAGGAUGAAGGUCCUCUGGAUUGUAAACUUCUUUUAUCUGGGACGAAACCCCCUAAUUCUUUAGGGACUGACGGUACCAGAGGAAUCAGCACCGGCUAACUCCGUGCCAGCAGCCGCGGUAAUACGGAGGGUGCAAGCGUUAUCCGGAUUCACUGGGUUUAAAGGGUGCGUAGGCGGGCCGGUAAGUCAGUGGUGAAAUCCUGGGGCUUAACCCCAGAACUGCCGUUGAUACUAUCGGUCUUGAAUGUUGUGGAGGUGAGCGGAAUAUGUCAUGUAGCGGUGAAAUGCUUAGAGAUGACAUAGAACACCAAUUGCGAAGGCAGCUCACUACGCAACGAUUGACGCUGAGGCACGAAAGCGUGGGGAUCAAACAGG
RNAcentral lists this ribosomal RNA (424 nucleotides) under uncultured bacterium. RNAcentral's name for it is "bacterial SSU rRNA". It matches the Rfam family "Bacterial small subunit ribosomal RNA", at positions 355 to 776 of the family's 1533-position model. The record is from RNAcentral.